GGAGAGUAACCCUAUCAGGCGAUAGGCGCUGUUUGCUAAACAGAUGGAGUUAAUGCUUGUGGUUCGAGUCCACUGCUCUCCG
RNAcentral lists this transfer RNA (82 nucleotides) under Leptolyngbyaceae cyanobacterium LF-bin-113. Its description in RNAcentral is "tRNA-Ser". Lineage: Bacteria; Bacillati; Cyanobacteriota; Cyanophyceae; Leptolyngbyales; Leptolyngbyaceae. The record is from RNAcentral.